Brassica oleracea var. oleracea is the source of this 881-nucleotide long non-coding RNA. RefSeq lists it as uncharacterized. Lineage: Eukaryota; Viridiplantae; Streptophyta; Magnoliopsida; Brassicales; Brassicaceae. The record is from RefSeq and is a predicted model, not a curated record. The transcript is spliced from 3 exons.
UCUAAAGAUUUUUUUUCCGUCGUUCGAGCGAUGGGGUUUGAUGAAAUCGAAGAGUUUAAUCCGUUCGGAGGGUUUCGAUUGCGCCGAGAUUGGAAUGGCAAACGUUUCUCAACUACACUCCAAUUUGAAAGCCGGCUCCACCGUCGAAGUUCUUCUCCUGGGAUUUUGGGAGACUGGCAAUGUAAAGAAAGGCUGCUAGCUUCUGGGUCUCACAACUCUCAUGAAGAAGCCAAGAGCAGAUAACUAAAGUUCUACAGAUUGUGCAAAUUUGUGUUUGCUUAUUCCUCAGCGCAACGUCCAGAACACACUUUUAUUAUGAUCAGGAAACUCAAGCCAGCAAGAACUUUCUUAAAGUGUAAGAAAGUCUAACUUCAUCCUAAUAUUUUAUUAACUUUCUUACAACUGUUGUUUUAUCCCCUCUAAGCUAGGUUGGUCUUGGUCUGGCUCAAUGUCUUUGUUUACCCACCUCAGGUACGUAAUUUACUUAUUGGUACUGCAAUCGUGGAUUCAUUUUUGACUCGUCUAAAAUUUAUCGUUCAAGUUUUCCUCUACGUGUCUAUACCUGCAGACUUUUGAGUUUUUUUGCAGAGCCAAAUUCAGUGAAAUUGAGACAAUCAAUGGAUGGUGCUCCUUCUCCUGUUCUAAGUGCUAUCAAAAGCUACAGCAGAGUUUCACAUCUUUUACAUGAUCAAGAUGUAAUGAUGACAAUGCUAUUGGGGUAAUGUAUUCUCACAGUAAUUGCAGAGAUUGUUUUCUCAUCUAAUGUGUAUUGUCUCAACCUAGGUUUUACUAACAUCUUUUAACCAUGUCAUUGUAAAGGAUUGUCUACAGUAUUGUCAUCAUUACAUCUUUAAGAUAUAGUAUAGGCUUAGAUAAAUAAA